CUACAGUGGUCAACAGUACAUCUUCAUUGGAGAAGCAUUAAACUUGCAGGAGAUGAACAACAGUUGUCGCUGAUACUCGUCUCAAUCCUGAAGAAGGAAAAGUUGUAACGUUAAUUGUUUUCAGGGUGUGACAAGUUUUUUCAUAGCUGAAAUCUUUAGGGACCUGAACAUGAGGAUCAGAUAACACAAAGAUGCCUGCCAGAGAGAUGAACAACACCUGUAUUAUUCACCACCACACAGAACCAUCUGAUGAACUCCAGCACCAAACUAGCUAUCAAUGAUACAGAUGGAACUAACUAGCAGCACCAAACUAGUUAUGAGAGAAGAUGGAACUGACUACUGUAGUUUUAGUCUUAGUUUAAGUCUGUCUGCAAUGCUGUGCAUUCUGUACUAUAAGCUUCUUGCAAAACCUAUAUUUGCAUGCUUUUUUUUUUUUUCAACAAGUCGGCUGUCUCCCACUUAGGCAGGAUGACCCAAAAAGAAAGAAAAUCCCCAAAACGAAAAUACUUUCAUCAUCAUUCAACAUUUUCACCUCACUCAUAAUCACUGUUUUUGCAGAGGCACCCAGAUACAACAGUUUAGAAGCAUAUAUAAAGAUACAAUAUCAGGGCCCCAAUUAUAUAUAUACUGUCCUAUUAUACAUCCCUCCAAACUGCCAAUAUCCCAAACCCCUCCUUUAAAGUGCAGGCAUUGUAAUUCCCAUUUCCAGAACUCAAGUCCAGCUAUAUAAAAAUAACCGGUUCCCCUGAAUUCCUUCACGAAAUAUUACCCUGCUCACACUCCAACAGCUUGUCAGGUCCCAAAAACCAUUCGUCUCCAUUCACUCGUAUCUAACACACUCAUGCACGCUUGCUGGAAGUCUAAGCCCCUCACCCACAAAACCUUUCCGAGGACGACCCCCUACCCCGGCUUCCUUCCCCUACAGAUUUAUAGUCUCCAUGUCAUUCUACUUUGAUCCAUUCUCUCUAAAUGACCAAACCACCUCAACAACCCCUCUUCAGCCCUCUGACUAAUACUUUUAUUAACUCCACACCUCCUAAUUUCCAUACUUCGAAUUCUCUGCAUAAUAUUUACACCACACGUUGCCCUUAGACAGGACAUCUCCACCGCCUCCUCGCUGCAGCACUUACAACCCAAGCCUCACACCCAUAUAAGAGUGUUGGUGCCACUAUACUUUCAUUCCCUUCUUUGCCUCAAUUGAUGACGUUUUUUGUCUCCACAUAUACCUCAACGUACCACUCGCCUUUUUUUCCCUCGUCAAUUCUAUGGUUAACCUCAUCCUUCAUAAACCCAUCCACUGACACAUCAACUCCCAAAUAUCUGAAAACAUUCACUUCUUCCAUACUCCUCUCCAAUGUGAUGUCCAAUUUUUCUUGAUCUAAAUCAUUUGAUACCCUCAUCACCUUACUAUUAUCCAUGUUCACUUUCAACUUUCUACCUUUACACACCCUCCCAAACUCGUCCACUAACCUUUGCAAGUUUUCUUUAGAAUCACCCAUAAGCGCAGUAUCAUCAGCAAAAAGUAAUCAUGUCAACUCCCAUUUUGUAUUUGAUUCCCCCUAUUUUAUUUUUUAAUGCAAUGGCUGUCUCCUGCCAAGGCUUGGUGACCCAAAAAUUUAAUAUUAUUAAUAACUGGGAAUAAAAUUAAAAAUAUUCAUUAAAAAAAAUGUUGUUUAGCUAUACACCUAGACAGCAAACUAAAAAUUCAACACUUACCACCAGCACACAUCAAACACAAUUUCUAAGAGUGGGCAUUUUUUAAAAAUUACUUCAUAUGUAUAUAUAGACACCUCAGUUAAUACUACUUACUCUGUACUCUCAAAUCUAUCCUUAUCUGCUGUAUGACCCAUACAGGUUCAGCAUGUAAUCUGAUUAUAUUGUAUUUAUUAUUACCUCAUUGAGGGAUAUAUGUGCAUGGGGAACUACAGAUGCAAAUGACUUAAAACCCACUGUAAUUCAAUAAAAAUCUGUUGCCAGAAUGAUCCCUCAAAGGUUUAAAUUUGCUUAACAUACAAAAUAUCUAAAUUUACUUUGGUCUCACUCUAAUUAAGCGUUAUUAAUUAAUCAUUAUAAUCUGGUACGUACUACUAUUUUUUUUAUAAUAUCACUGCUGUUUUAAUAUAUAGUUUUGGUACUUAAUCUUUUCACCUACUAAUCUUAUUUUCAGACCUUUGAAAUACCUAUAAAGGAUUUCGAGAGUUUUCCUACCCCUGCAGCCUGGCCCUAGGCCAGGCUGAUAAACAUAUAUUAACAUAAAUUAUACAGCUACAUAGUGUCAAACAGUUUUCAGUUCUGGUUCGUCUGCCAAAAAUCCUCUGCAUAACCAUAAUGUUAGAAAAAAAUGUUACCAAAUUUUGCAGCGACUGUACUUUUUUAAAUUUAAUUUUCAGUUUCAUUUUGCUAUUAUUAAAUAAUUUCUUCUGGCCUACAGGUAAGACUAGCAAAAAAUCCAAAACUCCCAAGCCCCAGUUAGAGAUUAUCCCUACAUCUAUUUCAAAAUACUCCCUGAGAGGUAAUCUCAGUAAUAAAUUUACCAGAAAAACAAAGCAAGAAGUAAAACAAAUAGAGUUGAGAAUCCUUUAUCCAAAAAUACUUGGGGCCGAAAGUGUUUCAAAUUUCAUGUUUUGGAAUAUUUGUAUAUUUGCAUCUAUAAAAUGGGGAUAACAAAAAGAUUAGGUGAUGAAAGAUUGGAUAUCAGAUUGGAGGGAGAGAGUAUGGAGGAGGUGAAUGUAUUCAGAUAUUUGGGAGUGGACGUGUCAGCGGAUGGGUCUAUGAAAGAUGAGGUGAAUCAUAGAAUUGAUGAGGGGAAAAGGGUGAGUGGUGCACUUAGGAGUCUGUGGAGACAAAGAACUUUGUCCUUGGAGGCAAAGAGGGGAAUGUAUGAGAGUAUAGUUUUACCAACGCUCUUAUAUGGGUGCGAAGCAUGGGUGAUGAAUGUUGCAGCGAGGAGAAGGCUGGGGGCAGUGGAGAUGUCAUGUCUGAGGGCAAUGUGUGGUAUGAAUAUAAUGCAGAGAAUUCGUAGUUUGGAAGUUAGGAGGAGGUGUGGGAUUACCAAAACUGUUGUCCAGAGGGCUGAGGAAGGGUUGUUGAGGUGGUUCGGACAUGUAGAGAGAAUGGAGCAAAACAGAAUGACUUCAAGAGUGUAUCAGUCUGUCAGUCUGUAGUGGAAGGAAGGCGGGGUAGGGGUCGGCCUAGGAAAGGUUGGAGGGAGGGGGUAAAGGAGGUUUUGUGUGCGAGGGGCUUGGACUUCCAGCAGGCAUGCGUGAGCGUGUUUGAUAGGAGUGAAUGGAGACAAAUGGUUUUUAAUACUUGACGUGCUGUUGGAGUGUGAGCAAAGUAACAUUUAUGAAGGGGUUCAGGGAAACCGGCAGGCUGGACUCGAGUCCUGGAGAUGGGAAGUACAGUGCCUGCACUCUGAAGGAGGGGUGUUAAUGUUGCAGUUUAAAAACUGUAGUGUAAAGCACCCUUCUGGCAAGACAGUGAUGGAGUGAAUGAUGGUGAAAGUUUUUCUUUUUCGGGCUACCCUGCCUUGGUGGGAAUCGGCCAGUGUGAUAAUAAUAAUAAUAAAAUGGGACAGCUUGGGGAUGGGACCCAGGUCUAAACACUGUAUUGUACUGUACAGGCACUGUACCAAAAAACAUGAUCACUGCUUAAUAAAAGAAGAUAAGUGCAGGCCCAGACUAUGCUGUUAGAUUUUCACCAGCAACAAUCUUGGCAAAAACAUCUAUGAAUUUCUCUGAUAUUUCAUGAUCAGCAGAUGAUUUAUCACAACUAAUCUUUAAAUAUUUAAUGCUGUGCCAUUUCUUAAAUUUUUGUAACCAGCUUCUGGAUAUUCAGUUACCUUCAAUAUUUAGUCUGUCAUGAUAGUUUAUUUGCUUGUUUCGUGAUCAGCAUUCCAUUAAGCGGCAUUAUGCUCACUCCAACACCGAUGAAUCCACUCCAUCAAUACACAAUCAAGAUCUUCAUUUUUCUCUUUAUGCAAUGUUUUUCUAUUUGUCAUUAACUUCUGUUCAUCACUUUCAGCACAGAACUUCAACAAUUUGUCCCGUUUUUAUAGGCAAUAGUGGUUGUUCCAACACCAAACUUCUCAGUAAGACACUUCACACUUACACCACUCUCAAGUUUUCCUAACAAUAUGACUUUCUGUGAUACAGAUAAAUAUAAAUGCUUCCUCUUUCUUUUACUAUUACCCAUAGGCCUUUUUGACAUUUUCAACAAUAUCUUCGUACAACAGAGCACAAAACACAGUCAUCAGUGAGUAUUGCUGCUGACAACAAACUGGCGCUAGUACAAAUAUAAAGCUCGUCUGUUUUGGCUCAAGAGAUGGAGGAGUGAGCCUCCACUACAUCUUGCGCUGAAUGAUCCAUUUGUGGUGCAUCAUGUUUUUGGAUUUGGAUAAAGGAUUUUGUACUGUAUACCUUCACUUGUAUACAGUAUAAGAAAGCUGGACAUGUUUUUUUUUUUUUAACAAGUUGGCCAUCUCCCACUGAGGCAGGGUGACCCAAAAAGAAAGAAAAUCCCCAAAAAGAAAAUACUUUCAUCAUCAUCAUUCAACACUUUCACCUCACUCACAUAAUCACUGUUUUUGCAGAGGUGCUCAGAACACAACAGUUUAGAAGCGUAUACGUAUAAAGAUACACGACGUAUCCCUCCAAACUGCUAAUAUCCCGAACUCCUCCUUUAGAGUGCAGGCACUGUACUUCCCAUUUCCAGGACUCAAGUCCGGCUGCAUAAAAAUAACCGGUUUCCCAGAAUCCCUUCACUAAAUAUUACCCUGCUCACACUCCAACAGAUCGUCAGGUCCCAAAUACCAUUCGUCUCCAUUCACUCCUAUCGAACACGCUCAUGCAAGCCUGCUGGAAGUCCAAGCCCCUCGCCCACAAAACAUGUAUUAUCACUAAUUACUGCAGUGCUGUUUAAUAAAUUUAUUGAAGCCAAAAGGUUCCUUAGCUAAGCUCUCACUACUCUACAAGUGAAGACUCAUCUGAAAUAAGUAACUAAUUCUACUAUACUUAAAAUAUUUGAAACAAAAAAUAUUAAAGUGAAUAUAUGACUUUGUAAAACAAAAUGAUAUUCCUAAUCAGUUUGGUUUCAAGUCUAAAAAUGUACAAAUGAUAUAAUAACAAAAAUGUGAGAUUUAAUCUACACAUCCCUAAAAAACUAUGAAUAUUCAA
Molecule: non-coding RNA, 5174 nt
Organism: Cherax quadricarinatus
Lineage: Eukaryota; Metazoa; Arthropoda; Malacostraca; Decapoda; Parastacidae
Source: RefSeq, a predicted model, not a curated record